UACGUAGGGCGCGAGCGUUAUCCGGAAUUAUUGGGCGUAAAGAGCUUGUAGGCGGUUUGUCGCGUCUGCUGUGAAAAGUUCGGGCUUAACCCGGACCGUGCAGUGGGUACGGGCUGACUGGAGUGCAGUAGGGGAGACUGGAAUUCCUGGUGUAGCGGUGAAAUGCGCAGAUAUCAGGAGGAACACCGAUGGCGAAGGCAGGUCUCUGGGCUGUUACUGACGCUGAGAAGCGAAAGCAUGGGGAGCGAACAGG
This 253-nucleotide unclassified non-coding RNA is filed under the name uncultured Micrococcaceae bacterium. Its description in RNAcentral is "contains 16S-23S intergenic spacer region". It matches the Rfam family "Bacterial small subunit ribosomal RNA", at positions 524 to 776 of the family's 1533-position model. Lineage: Bacteria; Bacillati; Actinomycetota; Actinomycetes; Micrococcales; Micrococcaceae. The record is from RNAcentral.